GUAUCAUUGAUGAGUCCCCUCAAAAGCAUUCCUUGGAAAGCUGAACAAAAUGUGUGAGAACUCACCACUGGUAACCUCAUUGGAUACUUAGGUCC
Erinaceus europaeus (western European hedgehog) is the source of this 95-nucleotide non-coding RNA. NCBI's taxonomy places the organism in Eukaryota, Metazoa, Chordata, Mammalia, Eulipotyphla, Erinaceidae. The record is from Rfam.